Molecule: long non-coding RNA, 196 nt
Organism: Polypterus senegalus (gray bichir)
Lineage: Eukaryota; Metazoa; Chordata; Cladistia; Polypteriformes; Polypteridae
Exons: 5
Source: RefSeq, a predicted model, not a curated record
AGAAUGUGAUGCACUCAGGGCUGAAUUUGAUGAUUUAGUCAAGUAUGAUGGCGAUAAGAAAUUGAAAGAAGAAUAUGAUGCACUCAAGGCUAAAUAUGAUGAUUUAGUCAAGUGUGAUGGCAAUAAGAAAUGGAAAGAAGAAUAUGAUGCACUCAAGGCUAAAUAUGGUAAGAAUGUUAAUUUUAUGAUGCACAGU